UCGGGAAUUUCGGGCAAUGGGGGAAACCCUGACCCAGCAACGCCGCGUGAAGGAUGAAGUAUUUCGGUAUGUAAACUUCGAAAGAAUGGGAAGAAUCAAUGACGGUACCAUUUAUAAGGUCCGGCUAACUACGUGCCAGCAGCCGCGGUAAUACGUAGGGACCAAGCGUUGUUCGGAUUUACUGGGCGUAAAGGGCGCGUAGGCGGCGUGACAAGUCACUUGUGAAAUCUCUGGGCUUAACCCAGAACUGCCAAGUGAAACUGUUGUGCUAGAGUGCGGAAGGGGCAAUCGGAAUUCUCGGUGUAGCGGUGAAAUGCGUAGAUAUCGAGAGGAACACCUGAGGUGAAGACGGGUUGCUGGGCCGACACUGACGCUGAGGGCGCGAAAGCCAGGGGAGCAAACGG
Molecule: ribosomal RNA, 404 nt
Filed under: uncultured bacterium
Lineage: Bacteria
Description: bacterial SSU rRNA
Rfam family: Bacterial small subunit ribosomal RNA
Source: RNAcentral